RNAcentral lists this ribosomal RNA (468 nucleotides) under uncultured bacterium. RNAcentral describes it as "partial 16S ribosomal RNA". It matches the Rfam family "Bacterial small subunit ribosomal RNA", at positions 28 to 507 of the family's 1533-position model. The record is from RNAcentral.
GACGAACGCUGGCGGCGUGCUUAACACAUGCAAGUCGAACGGAGAGGCCCUGCUUUUGUGGGGUGCUCGAGUGGCGAACGGGUGAGUAACACGUGAGUAACCUGCCCUUGACUUUGGGAUAACUUCAGGAAACUGGGGCUAAUACCGGAUAGGAGCUCCUGCUGCAUGGUGGGGGUUGGAAAGUUUCGGCGGUUGGGGAUGGACUCGCGGCUUAUCAGCUUGUUGGUGGGGUAGUGGCUUACCAAGGCUUUGACGGGUGGCCGGCCUGAGAGGGUGACCGGCCACAUUGGGACUGAGAUACGGCCCAGACUCCUACGGGAGGCAGCAGUGGGGAAUAUUGCACAAUGGGCGGAAGCCUGAUGCAGCAACGCCGCGUGCGGGAUGACGGCCUUCGGGUUGUAAACCGCUUUCGCCUGUGACGAAGCGUGAGUGACGGUAAUGGGUAAAGAAGCACCGGCUAACUACGAG